GAUGAACGCUGGCGGCGUGCCUAAUACAUGCAAGUCGAGCGAACAGACGAGGAGCUUGCUCCUCUGACGUUAGCGGCGGACGGGUGAGUAACACGUGGAUAACCUACCUAUAAGACUGGGAUAACUUCGGGAAACCGGAGCUAAUACCGGAUAAUAUAUUGAACCGCAUGGUUCAAUAGUGAAAGACGGUUUUGCUGUCACUUAUAGCUGGAUCCGCGCCGCAUUAGCUAGUUGGUAAGGUAACGGCUUACCAAGGCAACGAUGCGUAGCCGACCUGAGAGGGUGAUCGGCCACACUGGAACUGAAACACGGUCCAGACUCCUACGGGAGGCAGCAGUAGGGAAUCUUCCGCAAUGGGCGAAAGCCUGACGGAGCAACGCCGCGUGAGUGAUGAAGGUCUUCGGAUCGUAAAACUCUGUUAUUAGGGAAGAACAAAUGUGUAAGUAACUAUGCACGUCUUGACGGUACCUAAUCAGAAAGCCACGGCUAACUACGUG
This 497-nucleotide ribosomal RNA is filed under the name uncultured bacterium. RNAcentral describes it as "partial 16S ribosomal RNA". It matches the Rfam family "Bacterial small subunit ribosomal RNA", at positions 28 to 507 of the family's 1533-position model. The record is from RNAcentral.